This 481-nucleotide ribosomal RNA is filed under the name uncultured bacterium. RNAcentral describes it as "partial 16S ribosomal RNA". It matches the Rfam family "Bacterial small subunit ribosomal RNA", at positions 28 to 523 of the family's 1533-position model. The record is from RNAcentral.
GACGAACGCUGGCGGCGUGCUUAACACAUGCAAGUCGAACGAUGAAGGAGAGCUUGCUCUCCGGAUUAGUGGCGAACGGGUGAGUAACACGUGGCUAACCUGCCCCUUUCUCUGGGAUAACGCUCCGAAAGGAGUGCUAAUACCGGAUACGAACUCUGAACACAUGUUCGGAGUUGGAAAGUUUUUCGGAAAGGGAUGGAGUCGCGGCCUAUCAGCUUGUUGGUGAGGUAACGGCUCACCUAGGCGACGACGGGUAGCCGGCCUGAGAGGGCGACCGGCCACACUGGGACUGAGACACGGCCCAGACUCCUACGGGAGGCAGCAGUGGGGAAUAUUGCACAAUGGGCGAAAGCCUGAUGCAGCGACGCCGCGUGAGGGAUGAAGGUCUUCGGAUUGUAAACUUCUUUCAGUAGGGACGAAGCGAAAGUGACGGUACCUAAAGAAGAAGCACCGGCUAACUACGUGCCAGCCGCCGCUGUAA